UGGGGAAUUUUGCACAAUGGGGGAAACCCUGAUGCAGCGACGCCGCGUGAUUUAGAAGGCCUUCGGGUUGUAAAAAUCUUUUCUAUGGGAAGAAAAUGACAGUACCAUAGGAAUAAGGACCGGCUAAUUACGUGCCAGCAGCCGCGGUAAUACGUAAGGUCCGAGCGUUGUCCGGAAUCAUUGGGCGUAAAGGGUACGUAGGCGGGUAAGCAAGUUAGAAGUGAAAUCCUAUAGCUCAACUAUAGUAAGCUUUUAAAACUGCUCAUCUUGAGGUAUGGAAGGGAAAGUGUAAUUCCUAGUGUAGCGGUGAAAUGCGGAGAUAUUAGGAAGAAUACCGGUGGCGAAGGCGACUUUCUGGCCAUAACCUGACGCUGAGGUACGAAAGCGUGGGUAGCAAACAGG
RNAcentral lists this ribosomal RNA (402 nucleotides) under bacterium. RNAcentral describes it as "partial 16S ribosomal RNA". It matches the Rfam family "Bacterial small subunit ribosomal RNA", at positions 355 to 776 of the family's 1533-position model. The record is from RNAcentral.